RNAcentral lists this transfer RNA (61 nucleotides) under Thlaspida biramosa. RNAcentral's name for it is "tRNA-Arg". Lineage: Eukaryota; Metazoa; Arthropoda; Insecta; Coleoptera; Chrysomelidae. The record is from RNAcentral.
GAAUAAGAAGCAAUAACUGCAUUUAGUUUCGACCUAAAAAUUUGAUUAAUUAUCCUUAUUU